RNAcentral lists this ribosomal RNA (119 nucleotides) under Helianthus annuus (common sunflower). The record is from RNAcentral. Lineage: Eukaryota; Viridiplantae; Streptophyta; Magnoliopsida; Asterales; Asteraceae.
GGUUGCGAUCAUACCAGCACUAAUGCACCGGAUCCCAACAGAACUCCGCAGUUAAGCGUGCUUAGGCGAGAGUAGUACUAGGAUGGGUGACCCCCUGGGAAGUCCUCGUGUUGCAACCC